Mesocricetus auratus (golden hamster) is the source of this 839-nucleotide long non-coding RNA. RefSeq lists it as uncharacterized. NCBI's taxonomy places the organism in Eukaryota, Metazoa, Chordata, Mammalia, Rodentia, Cricetidae. The record is from RefSeq and is a predicted model, not a curated record. The transcript has 2 exons.
AGAAGGCUUUGGAGAAGGGUACUUUCUGUGGACCCAGAGGGAUGUUGAGCAGGAGCCGAGGAAGCACUGUAUUCACACCCCCACGGGAGAGGCCUGGGCAAAUGCUGCUCAUCUCAGGAUCCUCAUGCACCAUGCUCAUCUGGACCAGAUACUAGCAGAGCACCUUUGCAUGCAGUGGGCCACCAGCAGCUGCGAGACAUUUAGCAAAGGAGAAGCCUGCUCAACCUAACCUAAACUAAAACCCAUGGACCACCCAGAUCCCAAGACUCUCAGAUGUCCUGGGUGAAGCUUGAAGCUGCUGGGGUGCUUGAGAUGAGCCUGCACAAUGAUGAUGAAGGCGGCAGCUCCAGAGCAUGUAAAACAGGACCACGGACAGCGGCACUCCAGCAUGCAAAUACACAGGACACAGACAAAAUCAAGCUGCAGUUGUCUUCCCCGUGUCGGGCCCGAUAAUGAACAAGUAAUUUAUGUCCAGGAGUCAGUGAAGCCUGUCGCAGGCCAGGGCUGAAAUGUUACUACGAGGGAUUCCUAGGAAGGUCAUUGCCCUGCUGUUGUCACUGUUAAGGAUUGUCUGUAAAUGGCACGGCCUUGGAGGUGUCCCCUGCUUCUCUUGGCAUCUUGGAGGGAGAAAGCACGGUGCUCCUUUGGAGCUGAUACCCUGGAACCUUUGCACAGUCUGCCGUCAGCUGGCGCACAGUGAGGAGGGGUGACGAGGGGUGACGCAGGGUGGACCGGAGCCUGAGCAGCUGUGAGGACCUGUGGGCGGGAAGGUGAGACUUCGGCAGCCUUUCUUGGUCAGAUAGGAAAGCUAAACAAAACAAGACAAAGUGGCUUCAAAA